UCCCUGACUAGUACUGGGGCCUCUACACAACACGGUAGCGUGCCCCAAUGAGGACUCCUCCCCUACAGCCUCAGUCCAGUUCACCACUUUAAAUGACAACAGG
Long non-coding RNA from Gavialis gangeticus (Gharial), 103 nucleotides. RefSeq lists it as uncharacterized. The record is from RefSeq and is a predicted model, not a curated record. NCBI's taxonomy places the organism in Eukaryota, Metazoa, Chordata, Crocodylia, Gavialidae. The transcript is spliced from 3 exons.